AAUAGAUACCCAGGUAGUCCACGCCGUAAACGAUGAGUGCUAGGUGUUAGGGGGUUUCCGCCCCUUAGUGCUGCAGCUAACGCAUUAAGCACUCCGCCUGGGGAGUACGGUCGCAAGACUGAAACUCAAAGGAAUUGACGGGGGCCCGCACAAGCGGUGGAGCAUGUGGUUUAAUUCGAAGCAACGCGAAGAACCUUACCAGGUCUUGACAUCCCGCUGACCGCCAUGGAGACAUGGCCUUCCCUUCGGGGGCAGCGGUGACAGGUGGUGCAUGGUUGUCGUCAGCUCGUGUCGUGAGAUGUUGGGUUAAGUCCCGCAACGAGCGCAACCCUUGUCCUUAGUUGCCAUCAUUCAGUUGGGCACUCUAAGGAGACUGCCGUACAAAUACGGAGGAAGGUGGGGAUGACGUCAAAUCAUCAUGCCCCUUAUGACCUGGGCUACACACGUGCUACAAUGGGUGGUACAAAGGGCAGCAAACCCGCGAGGGGGAGCGAAUCCCAAAAAGCCACUCUCAGUUCGGAUUGCAGG
RNAcentral lists this ribosomal RNA (528 nucleotides) under uncultured bacterium. RNAcentral's name for it is "bacterial SSU rRNA". It matches the Rfam family "Bacterial small subunit ribosomal RNA", at positions 777 to 1304 of the family's 1533-position model. The record is from RNAcentral.